AAUGAACGUUGGCGGCAUGGAUUAGGCAUGCAAGUCGAGCGCGAAGAGUCAUUUGCUUGCAUUUGACUCUGAAAGCGGCGUAAGGGUGAGUAACGCGUAGUUACCUACCUCCGGGUCCGGAAUAGCUGCGGGAAACUGCAGGUAAUGCCGGAUAACAUCUCAGGAUCAAAGGUGAGAUUCCGCCCGGAGAGGGGACUGCGUCCUACUAGCUUGUUGGUGGGGUAAUGGCCUACCAAGGCUUCGAUGGGUAGCGGGCGUGUGAGCGUGGCCCGUCACACUGGGACUGAGACACUGCCCAGACACCUACGGGUGGCUGCAGUCGAGAAUCUUCGGCAAUGGGCGAAAGCCUGACCGAGCAAUGCCGCGUGCGGGAUGAAGGCCCUCGGGUUGUAAACCGCGAAAGUAAGGAGGAAGGACCUGCGAAGAGUAGGUUUUGACCGAUCUACAGUAAGGACGGGCUAAGUUCGUGCGAGCCGCCGCCGUAA
This 485-nucleotide ribosomal RNA is filed under the name uncultured bacterium. RNAcentral describes it as "partial 16S ribosomal RNA". It matches the Rfam family "Bacterial small subunit ribosomal RNA", at positions 29 to 523 of the family's 1533-position model. The record is from RNAcentral.